UGACUGGGGCGGUCUCCUCCUAAAGAGUAACGGAGGAGCACGAAGGUUGGCUAAUCCUGGUCGGACAUCAGGAGGUUAGUGCAAUGGCAUAAGCCAGCUUGACUGCGAGCGUGACGGCGCGAGCAGGUGCGAAAGCAGGUCAUAGUGAUCCGGUGGUUCUGAAUGGAAGGGCCAUCGCUCAACGGAUAAAAGGUACUCCGGGGAUAACAGGCUGAUACCGCCCAAGAGUUCAUAUCGACGGCGGUGUUUGGCACCUCGAUGUCGGCUCAUCACAUCCUGGGGCUGAAGUAGGUCCCAAGGGUAUGGCUGUUCGCCAUUUAAAGUGGUACGCGAGCUGGGUUUAGAACGUCGUGAGACAGUUCGGUCCCUAUCUGCCGUGGGCGCUGGAGAACUGAGGGGGGCUGCUCCUAGUACGAGAGGACCGGAGUGGACGCAUCACUGGUGUUCGGGUUGUCAUGCCAAUGGCACUGCCCGGUAGCUAAAUGCGGAAGAGAUAAGUGCUGAAAGCAUCUAAGCACGAAACUUGCCCCGAGAUGAGUUCUCCCUGACUCCUUGAGAGUCCUGAAGGAACGUUGAAGACGACGACGUUGAUAGGCCGGGUGUGUAAGCGCAGCGAUGCGUUGAGCUAACCGGUACUAAUGAACCGUGAGGCUUAACCUUACAACGCCGAAGCUGUU
RNAcentral lists this ribosomal RNA (677 nucleotides) under Escherichia coli. RNAcentral's name for it is "partial 23S ribosomal RNA". It matches the Rfam family "Bacterial large subunit ribosomal RNA", at positions 2270 to 2925 of the family's 2925-position model. The record is from RNAcentral. Lineage: Bacteria; Pseudomonadati; Pseudomonadota; Gammaproteobacteria; Enterobacterales; Enterobacteriaceae.